AUUAAAGUCAAGUUGGAAUAUCCUGAGAGUGCUAUGAAAGCACAGAAGAGCUUGCUUCCGUUGCCAGCAUCCUGUCUUGAUGAAGCAAGGUGUUCUGCAUUGAAAGCAGCCAGAACAUGAUUAUAGAAUAAUUGGCCAUAAGAAACACACUUUGGAUGUUACUGUUGCCCAUCACCUCUAGGACCUGGUUUCAGGAAAGCCAAGCUCAGAACUCCCACUUAUCAUGGAUUAUGUGAAUAACACUGAUGUGGAACACUGAGUCAGGUAAGACAUUGCUUGGAUCAGGUGUUCUAUAUAAUGGGAAGCAAUGACCUUGCACCCUGUACAUUGGUGUGAAUUUCAUGACAACCACAAAAUUUUAGAUAGGAGGCCACCAAAAUUCACAUAUUUUUCAGUUUUCCUGUUGCUGAGAGAUAGUACCCAAUACACACAACUUAAAGGAGGAAAAGUUUAGCUCACAGCUUCAGAAGAUUCAGUAUAUAUUAAGCAGUCUCCAAGGCAUAAAAUACAUGGUGGAACAGCAUGGCAGAGUAAAAUUGCUUAGUUCAUGAAGGCCAGGAGCAGAGCAGGGGAACAGUCCCAGAGAAGAACAGGCUAGAAAUGACAUACUGCCAUGCUUCCUACCAGAAGCAUACAUGCUACUAAUUUAUUAGGUGUUUCUUAAUUCAGCGAAGUUGGCAAAUUAGAAUUAAUGGUCACUUUUAUUUUAUUAGAUUUUUUAUUGGAUUCUGGAUAUUUUGUGUUUCCUAAGCAAUACUGGGCUUUUUCUUCUGUGAUGCAGUUAAGUCACCAAGAAAAAGAUUGAUUUUACAUUUAUUAAAUGGUUUGCAGCUAUUUUUUUUUGUUUCUUUGCUUGCUUGCUUUAGAAGUUCUAAGAUGUGAUUUAUAUUAAGAGAAAGAAGUACAGGAACUAAUGGAAAACACUCAGAAAGAAAUUUUAAAAGAGGAUCUUGAGACUAAAAUUAAGUUUAAAACAUGCACGUGUCCCAGUGUUGACCAUAUGCUCUGCUCCAGGAGAUGUCAUAGGGAUGGGUAUAUGCAUGUACUUACCAAAUUUGUUGAUUCUUAAGACCUGUCUGUAGAUAGUUUUGGUUGUCAAAGCCAGGGCAGUGUUAUUGGUUUCUAUUAAACAGAUGUCAGAGAUGCUGCUAAAUAUCUUGUCAUGCAGAGAGUAGACCCCAUAAGAAAGAAGUAUGGAGUACAAAAUAUGAAGAAUGGAAGAUUCUGAAACCUUGCUAUAAAAGUACGAAGUAAACUAUAUAUAACCAUGUGAAUGAAAGAAGCAAGACAUGCAGAAAAUAGUGCUAUAAGAAAUAUAUUUAUGUAAGCUUCAGAAGCAGAUUAAUUAAACCCAUUACAAUGUUAGGAAUCAGCUUACUGGUUAUCUUUGAUGGGAAAUGAUCAGAAGAAGCAGGAAAUGGGCCAUUUGUAAUGGUAGUGUUGUAACCAGUAUAAGUGUUGGUUAUAUUUUCCUUGUGAAAAUUCUUUUAGUUAUGCAAUUUCAUACUCAUUUCUAUGCUUUUUUAAUUUCUGUAAUCUUCAGUUAAAAUAUUAAAAUGUUAUUUAGAUUAGAUAUUCCUCCUAUUAAAACCCUUUGGCAAAUAGUCGUCAAUGGUAACAGCCAUUUUAGACUCUGCUGGUCUUGUUCUUGGUCAUUAUAAAACAUAAAAAUUCUCUUCACUUUGUUCUGCAAUGAUUUAGCUCUCUCUAAUUACUACUAUCAAACUCAGCUCAGGAUGUGUCUUUAUAUAUCAAAAAGAAAGGCUAUCUCUCCUAUUAGCAAAAAAAAGAC
Heterocephalus glaber (naked mole-rat) is the source of this 1792-nucleotide long non-coding RNA. Lineage: Eukaryota; Metazoa; Chordata; Mammalia; Rodentia; Bathyergidae. The record is from Ensembl.